UGAGCAUCAGCAACUGGAGCGUGGCUCCAGGACUCAGAGGCUCAUACAUCCAAAUAUCAGCAACUGGGGAGACUGGGCAUCCCAGGGACAGCUACUGGAUAGAACUGGGUGUCUAAGACCAGAUGCAGCAGCCCCCCGUUCACCUCCGCAAUCUUGGAAUCUAAUGAAUUCCUUGGCUACAGGCUGGUGCAUGCAGAACACUGAUGCUGACAACAAAUUGCUGCCUACAAUUUGGCACAACGGGCUUUGUAGCAAUCAACAAGCAUUAGCAUCAAUUGGAUUGCCAUAGCACGAGCCAGUAUAGCAAAAUCUGGAAACAGGAAAGGCAUCAGCUUUAGACUGCAAUCAGCUAGCCGAGUCAUUGCCAGGACCUGGGGGACAGGUAGCUGAAGGAUGAGUACCACUAAAGAUUUCCAUCUGUGUCUGGGAAGUGUUUCUACUGGAGAGAUAUUGCCGUAAUAACAUUCAGACGGCAGGAAGGAACACAAUGGAAGGAAAGCGGAAACCUACAGAGGACAUCUUCUAUCAGCAAGACUUCAUUCAACAUUUUUUCUCCAAAUUCCAAUUUCUUUGGACUAGCUUAUGCAGGAUGCUUUAGCAGGGAAGCCUAGUACAGAGUUCAAGAAGGCAUGCACAGAAUGCUAUGGCAGAGAAGCAGCAGCUUUGCUUUUGUUAGCAUAAUAAAGCUGGGCUGACAAAUUCAGAGGCAGUGGAGAAGGAAGCUGAAAUGGAUAAAGUAAAAAUCCAGAUCUGAGAACUAUGUGAAAAACAAGAGCUCAGAGAGCGUUAGAGGGGAACAUGAUAGUCUGCCCUGAAACAAAAGUGGUUCCAUCAGGAGAAGGAAGACCCUCCUAGGCGAGGAAGGCUUUUUAUCAGUUUGCUCAGCACAGAAACCUGCAGUACUUUUAAGGGUACUCUUCUCAGGCUACUUUUAACAAGCUGACUUUCAAAAAGGCCUAAUUCUGCUGAUUCCAUCAGAUUCGAAGGGUCUUGUGGGUCCAUGUGAAAUGUGAAUGUCUGUCAUAUGUCCCCAAGUUUUCUCUGAGACAUUGUUUCACAGCCCAGCAGACAUUUUGCAGAAAGUUUCCUCUAAGUGAAUGUAAAAGAAAUACAAGCAUGUUUUCCCCUAGCAAGUAUCACUGCAGUACUUUUGUUCUGUACCUAGCAACAAACUUUUGUAGCAGCAAAUCCUGCAAUCAAUUUUAUUAAUAUUCAGGACUGUUUCAGACUCAGAGAAAACAUAGUGAUAGUGAGAUUCCAACAAGGUGGUUCCCUGUCUGUUUUGUGCAAAUUACUGUGAAUCAGCAGGAAUUUUGAAAUGAAAUCAGAAGCUGACAUUUCAUCACCCCAUUAAUAACUCGGCAAUGGACACUAUUUCCAAUAGAAUACAGGACAGAAGAAAAAGCUUUGGGAGAUUAAGCAAAUUAAUGAAUGCAAUGUCAAGAUAUCAAAUGUGAUAGUCCAGAUAUAAAAAAUGGCAGACUAAUUCCCUAGAUAUUUGAUUUCCAGAAGAUGAAGGCUUGCUUAGUAUACUAUAUAUACUUAUUUUUACAUGUAUAUACAGAUGUGUGUAUUUAUGUAUGAAUAAUUUAUUUUCUUAACACACACUAUACACUAUAUGUAUGUCAUAUAUACUACUUUCACAGCCACUCCUGGACAUUGCUGAAGUUAGACUAAAUGAACCUUUUACCUUAAUACUGCAAAAAGCUCAGAUGAGACCUGGAAAAUGGCUUGUUCAGCAUCAGUUUUGUGAGAGCUUUAACAAGGAUUACAGACACUUACUUCCCCUUUCUUUCUUUCGACAUACCUACACUAUCAGGGAGGAAUCUACUUAGCCACCUACACAUUUAUUAAUUUCUGCUCCCUGCAAGCCUACAGACUCUCUAGUGAGUUCUGUUUUGUGGGGUGGGAACAUCAUUUUAGGUAA
This is a long non-coding RNA of Cygnus olor (mute swan), 1927 nucleotides long. RefSeq lists it as uncharacterized. Lineage: Eukaryota; Metazoa; Chordata; Aves; Anseriformes; Anatidae. The record is from RefSeq and is a predicted model, not a curated record. The transcript is spliced from 5 exons.